GAUGAACGCUGGCGGCGUGCUUAACACAUGCAAGUCGUACGGUAAGGCCCUUUCGGGGGUACACGAGUGGCGAACGGGUGAGUAACACGUGAGUAACCUGCCUACAACUUUGGGAUAACGCUAGGAAACUGGUGCUAAUACUGGAUAUGUGCUCCUGCUGCAUGGUGGGGGUUGGAAAGCUCCGGCGGUUGUGGAUGGACUCGCGGCCUAUCAGCUUGUUGGUGGGGUAGUGGCCUACCAAGGCGGCGACGGGUAGCCGGCCUGAGAGGGUGACCGGCCACAUUGGGACUGAGAUACGGCCCAGACUCCUACGGGAGGCAGCAGUGGGGAAUAUUGCACAAUGGGCGCAAGCCUGAUGCAGCAACGCCGCGUGCGGGAUGACGGCCUUCGGGUUGUAAACCGCUUUCAGCAGGGACGAAGCUUUUUGUGACGGUACCUGCAGAAGAAGCACCGGCUAACUACGUG
This 465-nucleotide ribosomal RNA is filed under the name uncultured bacterium. RNAcentral's name for it is "partial 16S ribosomal RNA". It matches the Rfam family "Bacterial small subunit ribosomal RNA", at positions 28 to 507 of the family's 1533-position model. The record is from RNAcentral.